Molecule: ribosomal RNA, 376 nt
Filed under: uncultured Anaerolineaceae bacterium
Lineage: Bacteria; Bacillati; Chloroflexota; Anaerolineae; Anaerolineales; Anaerolineaceae
Description: bacterial SSU rRNA
Rfam family: Bacterial small subunit ribosomal RNA
Source: RNAcentral
GGUUGUAGGACUGAAAGGGACCGACCCUUCGGGGAGCCUAUACAGGUGUUGCAUGGCUGUCGUCAGCUCGUGUCGUGAGAUGUUCGGUUAAGUCCGCUAACGAGCGCAACCCUCGUCGUAUGUUAUAUGUGUCAUACGAGACUGCCGGUAAAAAGCCGGAGGAAGGUGAGGAUGAUGUCAAGUCAGCAUGACCUUUAUAUCCAGGGCUACACACACGCUACAAUGGUCUGUACAAUGGGUAGCCAAGCCGCGAGGCGGAGCCAAUCCUGAAAGCAGGCCUCAGUUCAGAUUGCAGUCUGCAACUCGACUGGCAUGAAGCCGGAGUUGCUAGUAACCGCAGGUCAGCAAUACUGCGGUGAAUACGUUCCCGGGUCUU